UAGGACUUCAGCAGAUCCUCUCCGAGGCAGGGCUGGCGGCGCUGCCGGGGCUCCGAGCGGGCGUUUCGCUAGAGACAGGCCAGUGGAACCACCCCGGUUUGACUCCCCACAUCUUCGGCGUGGAAGGAGAUGCUCCCAGCAGGCAGGUCCUUGUUUACACGGCACAAGCCCUGCCUCCAGGACCUGGAAGCACCGGGAGGGCACCCAGGGAGGACUGGGGUG
Long non-coding RNA from Anser brachyrhynchus (Pink-footed goose), 222 nucleotides. Lineage: Eukaryota; Metazoa; Chordata; Aves; Anseriformes; Anatidae. The record is from Ensembl.